CCUACGGGAGGCAGCAGUGGGGAAUAUUGCACAAUGGGCGCAAGCCUGAUGCAGCCAUGCCGCGUGUGUGAAGAAGGCCUUCGGGUCGUAAAGCACUUUCAGCGGAGAGGAAGGCGGUGAGGUUAAUAACCUCACCGAUUGACGUUACCCGCAGAAGAAGCACCGGCUAACUCCGUGCCAGCAGCCGCGGUAAUACGGAGGGUGCAAGCGUUAAUCGGAAUUACUGGGCGUAAAGCACACGCAGGCGGUCUGUCAAGUCGGAUGUGAAAUCCCCGGGCUCAACCUGGGAACUGCAUUCGAAACUGGUAGGCUAGGGUCUUGUAGAGGGGGGUAGAAUUCCAGGUGUAGCGGUGAAAUGCGUAGAGAUCUGGAGGAAUACCGGUGGCGAAGGCGGCCCCCUGGACAAAGACUGACGCUCAGGUGCGAAAGCGUGGGGAGCAAACAGGAUUAGAUACCCUUGUAGUC
This 465-nucleotide ribosomal RNA is filed under the name uncultured bacterium. RNAcentral describes it as "bacterial SSU rRNA". It matches the Rfam family "Bacterial small subunit ribosomal RNA", at positions 338 to 795 of the family's 1533-position model. The record is from RNAcentral.